This is a long non-coding RNA of Panthera uncia (snow leopard), 661 nucleotides long. RefSeq lists it as uncharacterized. Lineage: Eukaryota; Metazoa; Chordata; Mammalia; Carnivora; Felidae. The transcript has 2 exons. The record is from RefSeq and is a predicted model, not a curated record.
UCAUAAUAAAAUGCUUAAGCAAAUUUAUAAUUUUUAAAAUUAUUUUUAUCAUUAAAUUGCAUUGGAAUUUAAUGCAAUUAAAUUAUGAUAGAAUUAAGAAUGCCAUCUGGGGGAUGCCUGGGUGGCUCAGCGCCCCUAGCAUCAUAAUCUUGAUUUUGGCUCAUGUCAUGAUCUCAUGGUUUGUGGGAUUAAGCCCCAUGUUGGGCUCUGCACUGACAGUGAAGAGACUGCUUGACAUUCUCUCUCUGCUCCUCCCCUGCUCAUGUGCGCGUAUGCUCUCUCUCAAAAUAAAUAAAUAUACAUUAAUGAAUAAAAAAAUAAUGCCAUCUGGAAAGUUAGAUUUAUCCUGUCAGUUUUGAGGUGUCAAAUAGUCUUUAUCACUUUUUUUCCAGAUAAAUCCCAUUCAAAAAUAGCAAGUUUGAAAUAAGGAUUUGAAAUAUCCCUUAAUCAAUUAAAGAAGCUGCUGUAAAAGCAGAAAACAAGUCUCAAGAUAUGAUCACAGUAAUUUUAACAAUUUAUACAGUUUUGGUUGUUAACAUUAAUAUUAACAGAAUAAAAACAAAAAAAGCUCAAUGUUAGCUAUAGUUCUUUCAUAUCAAGAAGAGACCAACUAAAUACCAAAUGUAAUGAGUACAAGUGUGUGUGUGUGUGUGUGUGUGUG